Molecule: long non-coding RNA, 1029 nt
Filed under: Macaca fascicularis (crab-eating macaque)
Lineage: Eukaryota; Metazoa; Chordata; Mammalia; Primates; Cercopithecidae
Description: lncRNA (ENSMFAG00000062560.1)
Source: RNAcentral
CCAACCCUUGGAAACCGGAAACUGGCUCCGGCCGCCUCUCAGAGACCUGGUGCUGGUGGCCCUUGCAUCCCUUACACAGCAGAACUCUUUUAAGAGGUGGGGCUGACAGUCGGCGAGUGAGUAGCAGGGAGGAACUGGAGCCCCAAAGAAUCCAAUUUUCCCCCAAAGAAAUGAUGGAAAUGAUGCGCAAAACACGUUUACCCCUAGUAGCGAGCAGCAACUAGACCUGAGAAGGGGUUCUGGGUGAGGCUGGAUAUGGGCUCAGUGGGGAAGUUCUCUGUUCUCGCCCCAUCCCUCGCUGCCUUUUGAGGUCUGGCCUGCACCUAGGCGCAGAGGGAUGGAGGAAGGGAAGCCCAUGGGCCCUUGAGGAUGAAGAGCCUGGGAACCUGGGCACAGGGCGCCCCUGAGCCAGCCGCUCCUUUGCCUGCUGUGUGCAGAACCCCGCCCUCUUGCCUGGCUGAGCUCAGGGCUGAGUAAGUGAUCUGCACAUCACUGCAGAUAUGAAGUCAAAGUGAAGUCACCCUCACAGGCAGGAGGGGGAACUGCCAAGACAGAGGCUGGCUUGCACUCAGCCAACCAUGAUGUCCAGACCUGGCUUGCUGAGAGGACCCCCACCGAAGGCUGCAGAAAGGUUCCAGGCCUCCAUGUUGAUGGCAGAAGUGGCGAGGCAGCUCACCCUCCGCCCUGCUGAUUUCUGUGCACAUUUGGGAUGACGUUUUCAACAGCUCCAGUGCUGGAGCCAAGAGACAGUUGGCCUCAGGUUUCCACCUCAGGGCCCAAACUCACCUCCUCAGCCCGAGACUCGCCCAGAACCUCAUCAGGAGACCACCUAACGGAAGGAUGAGAAUAGUUGGAGGAUUUUCUGAAGUCUUUCUCUUGCCUCAUAGUUUAUUUCCUUGCAGAAUCCAGCCCUUCAGAUGCAGCUGAUGUCUUAGCCACCACACACAGCAACCUUUUCUGUCUUCACAGUUGUGUCUCUGAAGCAACUUCCAACUAAAUAAAAGCAGCUCCGUAAAGGACGCGUCAUUG